Molecule: long non-coding RNA, 9311 nt
Organism: Cervus elaphus (red deer)
Lineage: Eukaryota; Metazoa; Chordata; Mammalia; Artiodactyla; Cervidae
Exons: 5
Source: RefSeq, a predicted model, not a curated record
UCCUGCUCCCUGGAGAGAGCGGGUUGGAAUGUUCCAGGUCAGCCGCUUGGUGGCGCCCGUGAAGCGGGGAUUCGAUUGGGCCUUCACUCUAGAUUUCCUGAGUCUGGUACACCCUGGUGCUGUGGCGGCCCCAGAAGUAAAGAUGGGAAUGGGCGGCCCUUCUUAUGCUUGGAAAUAUUCCAAACUGUUGAGCCAUCCUUCCCCUGAGAGGGACUGAGGUCGGGUGAGGGCCAGGCUUCGCUAGGGGUCACGCGUCGAGUUAGCCGCAAGCAGGCCCUGGCCUGAGGUUUGUUAGCAUGCUGGGAGGUACAACCCCUCUGCCGCCCUGUGCCCCCUUCCCCGCAUUUAUCAUCAAAGAUUCUCAAGAGCAGGAGCGCGUCCCUUCUCUGUUUCUCCCAGCGGCGCCGGGCGCUAUAAGAGCUCGCAUGCCUCCCCUUCCAUGCAGAUGGUGGGGCCUUAAUUGGAGGCCCGCAAAACAGCUGAGCUGUGGAUGGAGUGCUCAGAUGAAACUUCUGAAAAGGUCCAAGGAAGACAGAUAGGACCAGCCAAUAUGACUCAUAGCAUGUGACUUGCAAUUUGGACACAUGGGCCCCUCCAAGGUGGCAAAGGGCAUUCUCAACUCCAGCUUCAGCCCCUUCUGAAGACAUCUGCAAACCCCAGUGUCCAAAUCUCCAGACACCCAGAGAGAAUGGAGCAACCUGACUCUGUAAGGAUGUUUAGUGGCUCAGCUGCAGCCCUGGGAGCAAAGGUGAUUGCGCAGCAGGAACUGCUCGACUGUCUGGAGAUGAUUCUCAACUUAGCAACUACUCUUUCUGCUAAAGACCCAGGGAUCCGUCUACCUGCUCACCUCUGCCACUCAUUUCCUUGCAGAUGUUGCUACUGGAACCCAGCUGCCAUGCUGUAAGGAAGCCCCGGCCACCCCAUGGAGAGGCACAUGUGAAGGGGAGCAGCAUAGAGUGCCCACUUGAAGGCCCUGUUUGACUGGGAGUCCUGUAUUUUAUCUGGCAACCCUAGUUCUAGGGGAAAAGGAGAGGAGGAAAAAAAUGCUUCCGACUUCAAGGGACAGUUCAGAAAGCCAGAUGUAGCACACAGGCAAACAGCACCCAGAGGCAUGAGAGAUAAAGGUGAGUAGGAGCAAAGUCAUAAAAGGUCACCUUGCUGAGGUCCGUCUUGAGUUUCACCCUGAAGCAGUGGGGAGCGGUGGGAGGGUUUAGAGCAAGGGAGAGACACAGUAGUUUUGUAUUUUAGAGAUUUCAGGCUACUGUGUGAGGGGGUGGGAGCAUGUAGGCAGGAAAACCAAGAGAAAGGAGUCUCUUGCCCUGCAGUGCUCCUCCUCCGCAUUGUCACCACGAAGCCAUGAGAACACUGGUGGACUAAUCUCCCCACUUUAUAUUUUUUUUUCUACAAUAUGUUUUCUUUUUUUUUACAAUGUGUUUUAAGCCAUAAAUUUCCCUUAACCACUGCCCCAGGAUAUCCCACAAGUUUUGAUAUGGUUAGGUUUUUUUUUUCUUUUUUUUUCUUUUUUUUUUUUUUUUGAAUUUUUUAUUAGUUGGAGGCUAAUUACUUCACAACAUUUCAGUGGGUUUUGUCAUACAUUGAUAUGAAUCAGCCAUAGAUUUACACGUAUUCCCCAUCCCGAUUCCCCCUCCCUGGUUAGGUUUUAUAUCACUUCAUUCAGAAUAUUUUCUAAUUUCCCUUAAUAUGUCUCUGACGUAUGGAUUCUUUAUGUGUGUUGUAUGAUUUCCAAAUAUUUAAGAUUUUUCCAUGUAUCUCAUUGUCAUUUAUUUUCAUUUCCUUCCACUGUGGGCAGAGGACAUACUUGGCACAUUCUUUAAAUUUUAUGAAUAUCGUUUGGUGGGUGAACAUAUGGUCUAUCAUGGUGAAGGUAGCACGUUUGCUGGAAAAGAAAGUGACUGCUGCAGCUGUUGAGUUUCAUCCUCGUAAAUGUCACUUCCAAUCAGGGUGGUUGACAAUGUUCUGCUCUUCUGUGUGUUUCCUUAUUAUUUAGUCCAGAGCUAUUCUGUCCUCUGAUGGUGUGGGGUGUAAAAAGCUCCAGUGAUUGUUAUAGAUUAGCCUAGUCCUCCCCUGUUUUGGUCAGUUUUUUUCUUCAAAUGUUUUGAAGCUCUAUUGCUGCACACACACACACAUGCAUGUAUGAUUAUUAUGAUUGUAGCCAUAGGGAGUUCCCUGUGUAGCUUGGAUAACACUCAUCCCCUUAAAAGUCCACCAUGUCUGAUAGCAUUACCACCACCACAGCUUUCCUAGUCUCACUGCCAGCUUAGCAUAUCUUUAUCCAUUCUUUACUUUCACCUGAUUUGUGUCUUUAUAUUUAAAGUGAGCAUAUUUAUAGACAGCAUAUAUUAAUAGUUGGGUCUUUUCUGUUCACUGGAGGAUCUCUGCCCUUUAGUUGGUAUUUUAGCACAUUUACAUCUAAUCAUUACACACAUUAUUGAUAUGGUUGACUUAGUUCCAGGAUUUUACUACUUGCUUUCUGGUUUUCCUCUGUUUUCAUGCCUCUGUUCCUGUUUGGAUUGUGGAGGAAGAAUACACCAUUUUUGGCACUCUAUCCCAAUCAUUUAUCAGGUGAUGUGCUAAUUUUGAGUGAUUUUUUAAAAAUUUUAUGUAUUUAUUUACUUGUAAACAUUUAUUUAUUUGACCGUGCCAGGUCUUAGUUGUGGCAUGUGGGAUCCAGUUCCCUGACCUGGGAUCGAAGCUGGGUCCCCUGCAUUGAAAGCAUGGAGUCUUAGCCACUCAUCCACCAGGGAAGUCCGUUUGAAUGAUUUUUAGAACUGGAACGAACUCUGCAGCAGGUCCAAGGCUACAGUAUGAACAGUCCUGCCACUUAUGUAAAACAAUAAGGUAGAUUCCAUCGUGGAGGAAGAUGCUAUAGGGAGCCUUGGGCAAGCCCCAGCAACAUUAGAAGAGUAAUUGCUGACCUUGGAAUUGACUGAGUUCAUGACUCUGGGUGGUCAUGUGACCAUGUGGCUAGAACUGUCUGUCAUGAACUGGGUGCUGGCAGACCCACAGAAUCAUUAGGUUGGUCAGGCCAGGCAUCCAGUCCAUCAUUAUUCAGAUGUUGUAUAUCCCAGAUCAAGCUUAGGCAGAUCCAAAUAGUAUAACUAAUCUCUAUAAACAGAUGGCUCAAACACCAGUGUUGCCUAACACUGUUGCCCUGAUGCCUCUUGCAUAAUCUCACACCCAAACAUUAUGUGGGGUAUCCAGAAAAUGGCUAAUAGAAGGGGAGAAGCCCCAAGCUUGGUUCAAGGGCACAUUAUCUUGGUAUGAAGGAGACAAAAUGAACUGCUGUUCCAUUACACCCCCAGCUGUGAGAGGAAGUCUCCCCAGUGGAGAAAAAUUUGAGCAGUGCACGUAGCCAGAGGUGAUAGCGGGAGCUGCUUCAUGGGCCUGAGAGCUGUUAUGUCACAGCCUGCUCGAAAGGGCCCCACAGUUGUUUAAUGCUCUGCUGUUGCCAUCUUGAAAUUCAUAAUUGUUCUGAGCAAGGUGCUCUGCACUUUUAUUUUGCACUGUAUCUCACAAAACAGGUCCUGGGCUAAAGAUUCCAAGACAAGUGCAGAAUAGAGGACCCAUAGAUGAUAAGACUGCCUUGAUCUAUACGUGCCAUGAUGUGUGUGUGUGUGUGUGUGUGUGUGUGUGUGUGUACGCACAGCAGAAUGCUACUUGUUAGGUCCUCAAAAAUGAUGAGUAUUGUCACCCUCUGUUGAUGGUGACUAUGAUGAUGAUGAUAAGAGUUAUUGGACUCCUCCAGCAUUGUUCUUUAGACUUCAUUUAAGCCUGAUUAACUCACUAUCCAUGAGCCAUCCCUCUGUUUUGCUUCACUGAAAUGAAAACAGUGAAAAAAUGCAAAGCAUUUUUUAUUCAAGCAGUGUCUUUGACCCUCAGGAGCUUAACACAAACACAUACCUAGGGUUUCAAACACCCACUAAGGUUUUUGCACACUCUUCAUUCAACCCUCAUCCAAACAGUUGCAUCAACAGUCCCUAAUAUCCCAUCCCACCCCCAACCCACCUGCAACAGAGUCUCUCAGAAUUCACACAGAUAGGCACCCAUAUACUCCCAGGUCAUCUGGGUGAGUGUGGGUGAUGUCUGUACGAUUCCACCAGUUUGGUCUGAAAAUUCCUGCCAGGGACAGCUGAUGAGCAACCCUAUCAUCUUCAUUUGAAAAUUUCUAUCACAAAUUAGAAAUUAUGCGUGCCCUGGUGGCUCAGAUGGUAAAGCAUCUGCCUGCAAUGCGGAAGACCCGGGUUCAGUCCCUGGGUCGGGAAGAUCCCCUGGAGAAGGAAAUGGCAACCCACUCCAGUAUUCUUGCCUGGAAAAUUCCAUGGACUGAGGAGCCUGGUAGGCUACAGUCCAUGGGGUUGCAAAGAGUUGGACACGACUGAGCAACUUCACUUCACUUCAUGAUUUCUAGUGCCUAAGAAGGAUGAGAAGGUUUGGCAUCUUGAAAGGGCACUAGAUAUAUUUCUAUAGUUUUCUAGAUUUCCAGGGAGAGCCAGAGGUUGUGAUUAUGUGAAAGCUUAGCAAGGAAACAGGUGAUUCUGUGCCCUUGUGGAGUUUGGAGUUUGGGAAUCUGGCACUGGGGAUACAAGGGCCCUGGUUUAAGGAGGGCUGCCUAUGUCAAGGGGAAAACCAGCAAUUCCACCACCACUCAUGAUACAACAUAUCUGGAGGUUUAGAUUUUAAAAGCCAGGGCCAGGAGAGGGUGGGCAUGAAGGACGGUGUCACCUGCUCCUUUCACAUUUCCUACAAGAAAGAAAGCCCUGCGGAGACUCCUGGCUCAGUAAAUGAGUCACUGGCUUUAUAAGCCAAGAGAGAUGGAAGACAGACUCCAGGAAACAAGCAAGGAGGAGGCUUGGAGAAGGUUUUCAGCUUCUGUGUGAAGCUGUCAAGACUCUAUGCUUUUGUGGAAACUGGAGAAAAACAAUAGUGAGACAGUGAGAAAGACUAGAGAAAUAGCAAGGGACCAGACAGGGCUCAAGUGAGAGCCUGUGCAUUGGGGCAAUUUAGAAUGACUGAUGAAACCAAGUUGGCAAAUUAUCCAGGCAGCUUUAGCGAGGGAGAAAAUCCCCCAGAGUUUCAAGGCCCCACAGCCAGUCCUAAUCCAACAGAACUCACAGCCACUGAGCAAGUCAUCGCAUUUGUGCCAGGUGACAAGGAGGAAGAUUCAAGGUGUGAGCCACUGUGCUGAGCCUCAAAGGCUUCUUGACACCUAGAAUAGGACUGUUCAGACACAUUGAAGGUCAGGCUAAAUUUCAGGCAGAGGCCUGGAUCAGAGAGAGCAGGACUCCUUGGAAGAAAUGAAUGGAGAGCAGUUUGGGGAACAGAAGCACAAGAAAGGACUGGAUGGAUCCUUUCUCUUUUCUCAUUUUGGAUUAUUUGUUUGCUUAGCCAAUUUAGGGAGGUACAUCUCCUAAGUGCCAGGCAGUAUAUUUGACACUUUGUUUAUUUUCUGAGCAAUUCAAUUCGCCAGUGUUUACUGAGCUCCCUGAGGAAGUGAGCUGGGCCCAGCCACAGAGCAGGCAGAGGGCACAGCAAGAGCGAAGGCCCAGAGAUGGGAACUCACAGAAAAGUCUCAGGGAAGAGUCAGGAGUCCCUUGGGGGCCAGAGUGGGAUGAGCUAGCUGAGGCCUUAGGGAAGACCGAGCUGAUCUUCCGACUCGAGCCUGGUGGGGAGCCGGAUGAGUCCUGGAGAGAUUCUGGCCAAGAAGCGAGGCCAGGUGGGGGAGGUCCUCCCUCAGCACAUUCUCUUCCAUGUGACUCUGGGGAUAUUAAUAAUUAACCCAGGGGCCCACACAGCUGCCACCACUGCCCUCAGGCCCUCCCUGUAUGACAUCCAGGCCACACUCCCACUGCACAGCUCUGUGGGAGAAAGGAGUCUUGUUAGACACUUUAAUCAGAUGUGCUGGCCCGGAGUCCCCCUCACACCAGUCUGCCUCCUGGGAUAGCCUCCGCCAGCUCUCUGGGCUUCCAAAGAGCCUGGGCUGAUGGCCGCCUUCCCCCCAGGCUAGAGACUUGCCAACUCUCUGCUGGUCAGAGCCCUUUGGGCCCUCCAGGAUCCUGACUCAAUUCAACAAUGACGUCUUGGGGAGCAGGGCAGCCCUGGGAGGGAAGGUAAGCCUCUUGGUCCCCAUCCCAGCCUGGCCACAGAUUCACUGGCCUCAGGCCUGGCCUUGCUCUCUCUGCAGCUUGAUGACUUUGGAGAUCUAGGGCCUCUGAGUGUGGGAACUGGGCACAGAGCCUGUUGACCCGAUCUAGAACUAGCCUUGGUGUCGGGUACCUGGAGAGGAGCAGGUUACCCUUUGGGGAGAGGAAGCAGACAAGGGCUGUGGCGGGAGAAGCACAGGGCAUUGUGAGAGCAAAGAAGAGGUUGCUGACCUGGCCUGGGAUCCAGAGGAGGUAGUAUCUGAACUGAGACCUGAAGGGUGGACGGGAGGCACCAGGUGAAGGAAAGAGAAAAAAAGAUGCUAGAACAGCUUGUGCAAGGACACGGGGACAUAGGAAAGCAGGAUGUAUUCAGGGAACAAAGAAGUUCAUUCUGGCUGGAGCUGGGACCUCAUAGGGAGGAACUAGCCGGAGAGUUAGGACCAGCAGGGAAGCGAGAAGGGACAGGGCCUAAUAAUGCCGGAGCCAUCCAGCGGCUCUGUGGGGAAAGGACCAGGCUGGGUGAAACCAACGGGAGGACUGCAGGUGGUGCCUUGGCCAAGGGGCAGGGAGGAUGGGGCAGACCUAAUGGCUGAAGAGGUGUCCGGGGAAAGGCCCCCCAGACUAACCUGAGAACCUGGGAGCGAGAGCAGUUCUGAGAGAUGGGGUCGGCUUUACACAGUGAGUUUGGGAUGCCCAAGGGUCAUCUUAAGUGGGGAAACAGCACAAGAGAUGGGGAGCCAAGGCUCAAGGCAUCACUGUGGAACAGAAACAAAGGCAUGGACUUUGUCAGGAUGGGCUGGGGAAAAGAAUCAAGGAUGAGGGGAGGGGGCCUGGCACCCUGUGAAGACCAUGGUGGAGCAUCAAGAGAUGUAGCCAGAGCAGCAACUAGAAACCCAAAAGGAGCAGUCACAGCAGCCAGAGAAGUUUCAGAAGAGGGGGGCGUAUCAUCCAUGAUCAGCACCGAUCAAGUCAAAGGCAGAGAGGACUGAGAAGCUGAAGGUCAGGGAACUUUACAAAGAAGCUUGAGCAGUGAAGGGGGGUUUAAUGGUGGUAGUGGGCUUCGCCAGUGACCAUGAUAUGUAAUCAGGUCUGAGUGUGAGCAAGACCGCUGCAUAGUGCUGAAGAACUUGUGCACUGCACACUCCAGUGUGCACACCUUUCCACAAAAAUGUAACUUGGGAUAAAUGGGCACCCCCUGGAGUUUGGUGGUAUUUUGUGAAGCCUGUUUGUUACUGCAGUGUGGAGACUUCCCACACGGUGGCGCCAAAGACCAACACCAUAUAUCUCGGGCUUGGCUAGGGCAGGGUAGGGGUCGGUUUGAUGAAGAUGGUUGGCCUCCAGGUCGUCAUCCCACGUGUGGUGGGUAUUGCCGGAUGCCCAGUGGCUAGGACCUUGCCCACCUCGACGCCCUCCAAAUCUCUGUCAGAACAGUUCUAGCAGUAGGAACUCAGAAGUAAACUAUGCCCCACACACUGUAGCCUUUGCCAGGGGGCCUGGCCUGAAAGGGUCCCAGGGGAGCAACUCAUCCCAUGAUCUGGGAGAGGCAUGGUCAUCCCUCCCACUUGUCCCUUAGGAGAAGGGAGUCUCAGGAAGGAAGGAAGAGCGCCUUGCCCAGCCUGAGGGACACAGUCACCCCACCCCACCCCACCAAGGCCCUGCUCACAGGUCCCCCUAGAGGCCAAAGUUGGCUCAGCAGGAACAGUGGCAGAGAUGGCCCCACCUGGGAGAGAGAACCCAGGGAAGUCACCUAAUGUGCCUGGAGUAGAAGCUUACCCCCACCUGGUGUAGCGGCUGGCCUGGAAACGCCUGAAUGCAUGGCUAAGUGGCCAUGGUGUCUUUGAAAACGGUGACAUGUUUACUGCAAAACCAUUCUUGGAAUAAGUAAAUACAAAGAAUAAAAUAAAGCCGGGUGAAAUUAUGCCCAGAGAUGAUGACCACUGCUGGCACAGGGAUGAAACUCCUGACGGCUCUUGGGCGCAGUGUAUGCAGGUUUGAGCCAAGGAGGCUCCUACUACUGGAGAACGGACUGGCUUUUCUGGUGCCUUACCCCAGCCCUCUGUGACUACUGUGUUGAGCACUUUUCCCUAUUCAGAGAUACAAAACCCUCACUCCCUAUUAUGCCCAACUCUCAGACACACACAGUGGGCAGGAGCUGUGAUUGGAGGUGGUCCAGGCUGGGACUGAAGGUGAAUGGAGUUGGUGGUAGGAACAGGCAUACCUGCAGCCCAAGAUUUACCCUCUUUCAAGCCUACAACUGCCCCCACCACUCACUGAAGUGCCUUAGCAGAGCAUGGUGUUCUGCUCCUCCUCUCAUUUGACCUCUUGGUAAACCAGUUGACCAUCAUCACCUCUGAACUGUCUCUAGCCUUGAUCCCUCUUUCCUCUGUGCAUGUGUCCAACUGCCUUCUGGCUAUCUCCUCCUGAAUGGCUAGUCCCCAGACCCCUCAGAGGCCCCCUGCCCAAACUGACCAUAUCACCUUCCCAUAACCUGCCCCUCCAGGCCUCUCCACAUCAUUGAAAAAUACCAUCAUCUACCCAUCACCCAGACCCAAAACUCUGGCAUGAUCUAGAAUGCUGGCCUCCCUAGACCUCACAUCCCAUCAGCCCCCAGCGCUCCAUUCUACCUCCUGAGCCUCUCUCUCUACUGCCCCCAUGGCCCAGGCCACCAUGACUUUAGCAGGGAAAUGAUAGCAGCCACCUUGCUGCCUCUACCUGUCCCCCCUAAAGACUGCCUGAAUGACCUUUGCAAACCAAAGGCAUGACCACAGAAUUCCCCAGCUUAAAGCUCAGGCUCUCUAUCACCCUCCAUACUCUUUAGCUAGUGCCCAAAGCCCGUCACCAGGUGCCCACAUCCCCAGCACAUACACAAUUCUCCCACCACACUUUCUGCUUCCUGCCAGCAAAGGAGGCUGCUCUUCCCUACUGCACCUUGAACUCUGCUGUGCUCUCUCCCCAGACACUCCUCUGAAGACCUGCCCAUUGCCUGCCUGCCGAAGGAGCCCCAACAAGGGGCUCCUUGUUGGGGCUCCAACUUGCCCUGUCCCUACAAAGCCCUUCCUAACCAGCACACACACAUUCUCCCAUACAGAUCAAUGUGCACACAGACACAGUCACAAUCACUCGCAUUGGUGACAUAAGAGGUGUAGAGAC